This 447-nucleotide ribosomal RNA is filed under the name uncultured bacterium. RNAcentral describes it as "bacterial SSU rRNA". It matches the Rfam family "Bacterial small subunit ribosomal RNA", at positions 330 to 793 of the family's 1533-position model. The record is from RNAcentral.
UCCAGACUCCUACGGGAGGCAGCAGUGGGGAAUAUUGCACAAUGGGGGGAACCCUGAUGCAGCGACGCCGCGUGAGUGAAGAAGUAUUUCGGUAUGUAAAGCUCUAUCAGCAGGGAAGAUAAUGACGGUACCUGACUAAGAAGCCCCGGCUAACUACGUGCCAGCAGCCGCGGUAAUACGUAGGGGGCAAGCGUUAUCCGGAUUUACUGGGUGUAAAGGGUGCGUAGGUGGCAGGGCAAGUCAGAUGUGAAAGCCCGGGGCCCAACCCCGGUACUGCAUUUGAAACUGUCCGGCUGGAGUGCAGGAGAGGUAAGCGGAAUUCCUAGUGUAGCGGUGAAAUGCGUAGAUAUCACGAAGAACCCCGAUUGCGAAGGCAGCUUACUAAACUGUGACUGACAUUGAUGCUCGAAAGUGUGGGUAUCAAACAGGAUUAGAUACCCUAGUACG